UUUUUAGCUACGAAGGGAUGGAAGGUGAACCCGAUUUACCCGAAUACCGCGUGCCUGUUGAAGGAGACGACAAAGAAGUUAUUAUUCGUGUGGAAUCUGCGAGAAGUGUUGUUGUUCGUUCACUCAUCUUUAUUCGCGCGAGUGUUUUAGAAAAUCAAGAAUUAAAUUUCAAGGAGGCAACGAAGCUAUUCAGGGAAUGAUUUUGUCAAAUGAGUGGAGCAUGCUUCAAUGGCGACGUUUUUCUUUCUUGAAUAAUUUAU
This is a non-coding RNA of Paramuricea clavata, 260 nucleotides long. The record is from the annotation of a GenBank genome assembly. Lineage: Eukaryota; Metazoa; Cnidaria; Anthozoa; Malacalcyonacea; Plexauridae.